Molecule: transfer RNA, 77 nt
Filed under: bacterium
Lineage: Bacteria
Also listed under: 1 other name
Description: tRNA-Glu
Rfam family: tRNA
About the family: Transfer RNA (tRNA) molecules are approximately 80 nucleotides in length. Their secondary structure includes four short double-helical elements and three loops (D, anti-codon, and T loops).
Source: RNAcentral
GCCCCCAUCGUCUAGCGGCCUAGGAUGCAUGGUUCUCAGCCAUGAGACCGCGGGUUCGAAUCCCGCUGGGGGUGCCA